CAAACACAAUAAUUAAUCAUUGAUAUUUGGAACCUAAUUUAUGUCGUUGUACUAAUGAUCACAUAUAAAUAGAGUUUAACAAUUUAUAACAUUUUUGAGAAAUUAUUGAACUAGUCGUGUAUAAGAAGAACUAGUAAAGUUACCUCGGAUGGUGUAUCUCCUUUCCCCCCAUGGUUACAUGUUUUUGCUUCCCCGUCUUUCUCGUACUCAACCUCUAAAUAAGUGAUACGAGAAUUAUCUUGAUCAAUACGCAGCGUUUUAAUGCCAUCGUAAGAACCAUCAUCCCAAACACGCCCGUCUGUACCACCUUGGGCAUCAAGCUUGUAAAGAGGGAACGGCGUGGUAUCCAAUACAAAGUAAACUCCAAGAGCGUCGACAGCAUCACCUGCCCGUCCAUGAAACCCUACGAUCUUCUUUCCCUCAUCCUCAAAAACAAACUUUGUACCGGUCGUAAUUCCAAGUAAGUUUGGACCAAACAAUGGAGACUUUCUACCCUUUGAGGUCUUGAAGACGAGGGACGUAAUCACCUCUGUGGCAAUGAGAGCCACUUGGUGGUAACUUCCCUCCACUGCUAUGAUGUGUUCGUCCGGGUAUUGAAUUACAAACUGUAUGUAAUAGUAACAUAUAUUCAAUAAAAUUUAUAGUAUUUAAUAUUGAUAGGUUUAGGAUAAUUCUCAAGAUUUCCUAGUCCUAAUAUACAGUAUCUGAGUUUUGGUUUUAUAACGUUGUCUUAGUGUUUGUGUCUUAUUCAUUUACACAAGUAGUGUAAUACAAAAAAAUUAGAGAGUCACUAAAGGGUAUCCGCCUCAGAAAUACUUGCUUCUUCUUGUUUAUGUCUUAAAGGAUUUAUCCAACGUUAAUCCGAAUUCACAAGAGUAAUUUACUAGUAUCGCAAAAAAUUAAGGGUGAGAAUAAAUGCAAUGAGAACCUCUUUAGGGUGCUGAUUUGUUGUCCCAUAUUCAGUUGUUACUACUUCGCCGUCUUCCUGCACGUACUCAAACUUGAUGUAAGUGAUACGGUUGAGAUCUUGCCCUACAUACACUUUUCUUACACCCUCAUAUACAUCGUCGUCCCAUUCUUGUCCUCCCUCACCACCGCAGAGUGCCAACUUCCGGUACAUCUUCGCCAUUUCGAAUCUAAAAAAUAUUGUAAAAUGCAAAAAUUACUUCUUAUAUAGAUAAUCCAAAAACGAAAGUAUAUAUGUACAGCUUUAUAUAUAGUUUUUAAAGCUGGUUUGUGGUUAGUAAUACAUAAAUACCAUGAUAACACUGUAUAGCCUAUUCAAAUACAUAGCAAAAACACCAAAAUGAUCCAAGAAACACAAAUAGAACAAUCAACUGAUCAUGGGUAAAUAUUUACUGUUUGAUGUUGAUAGCUCUAUUAUUGGUGAUGUGGUGUAAUAUAAAUCAAUCAAUUAGGUUUAAAAGUGUUUGUUAAAUCUAAUAUAUUCAAGAAUACAUAUCUACAUAUAAAGAGCUACUUCUUGUUUUAAAAACAUUUUGUGAAGCAACAUACAUAGUAGUGGAAACUAGGAGUUACUUUAAAAAAAAAAAAAAAAAAAAAAAUUGAAGGGAGAGAGAUAACCAGUUAAUUAUUGAGCUCUGAAUGAUGGAAGGAGAUGAAGCUUAUGGGUAUUGAAUUGUGUGUAUUUAUUGACAAUCUUUGGCAUACAAGGUCUUCUUGAUUGUCUUUAAUUAAUCAUUUUAAUAAUCAACUCGUGUGACACGAGAGACUCCCUCACAAAUGCAACAAAUAAUUAGAGUCCAUUACGAGUGCAAUAUAUAAUAAUAGCAUACAACUUUCUAGAUGCAGAGAUAUUUUAAAGUACGACAGAUGAACAAAACAAUUCAUCAAAACAGCAUAAACCAAAUUCAAUAUAUUGUUAACUAAAACAAAUUUGAUGAUGUUAAUGUUGCGAUUCCCACCAAAAUCUCCUAUUUAGUAUUAAGAAUCUUUUUGACUGCACAUUUUGAAAACAGAUUUAGAAUUAUUAUCUUCAAACUAAAACGGUGUAUAAGCUUUAUUUCCUAAGUUACUGUCAGAAAUAUCAUUCAUUAAAGUUUCAAAUGAAUUUAACAGUUAUUUAAAUUUUGUAUAAACUGUGUUCAUGCAAAAGUUUGGCUUAUCAUCAUCAUAUAUUCAUGUCCUUGCUUUUUGGAGUCGUUGAGGAUCGACGGUUGGAUACCAUGGAGACGAUGGUCAAGUUAUUUUGGGACGCUGAUGUUAUGUCAUGAUGACUCUUUCACAUUAUCAUGUUGUGUUUUAUGAUUAUCAGUAUCUAAGGCUCAAAACUAGAAUAAGCUCGAAAAGAACAUAAAAGAGUCAAAACAACCACAAUGAUCCCAAUAAUAACAUACAACUUGUCAAAUGCAGAUACACUUAAUUUAUCAAAACAAAUCAUUCAGAAUAGUGAAAGUGGUGAUUUCUGUUCUUCUUCUCCUUCUUCUCCUUCUUCUCUUUCUGCACCUUGGCUUUCUUCUUAUCCUCCUUAUCCUUCUUCUUAUCCUCCUUGUCCUUUUUCUUCUCCUCCUUCUCCAUGUCCUUCCUUUCCUUCUCCUCCUCCUCCUUUUUCUUCGCCUCAUUCUCCUUCUUCCUCUGUAGCUUCAUCCAGACUGCAGAACUCGAUGAUGAAGAUGAACGUGAACCUGAAGCAGCCAACAAGACGAAGAAUAAGAAUGAUACAAUAUUGCUCAAAGCCUCAAAUCAAGAGUAAGGAGAUGAGAUGUAUAUACAAUGGAGAAGGAAGAGAACGUUAACCUUUUUCUUUAUUUUUUUUGUAGAUGGAGUUGAAAUGGAUCCCAGCUAGAUAGCUCAUAUGAAUGACUUUGUCCGGUUCCUUUUGAGACUUGGGCAAAAACUCCAUAAAUGGAAUAAGUUUGAUUGAUGUAAUGAGUAUUAUUUUUACUUGAUACACAUCAGCAGCCACUCUCAAAGUCACUUCAUCGCCCCAUUGGGAAUUAGUGGACAAUGACAUGUUCUUUAUGGGAGAAGUCCAUAUGAUCAACAAACCCUUUGUAAAUCUUCGGAUGAGUUUUAAGCUGAGAGUCAUCAAUCAAUCAAUCAUCAUAUGACAUUAAUACACGUAUGAAAAAAACAAUCAAAAGUUUGAAGAUUGAUAUUACCUGUUUUACGAUUUCUUGUCUAACAAGUUCAUGACAAUCCGAAUUUUGAUAAAGUUGAUCCGCCAAAGCACGGAACUGAAAUAGAAUUAUUGACAAAAACAUGAAAAAGGGUUAUUCAUAAUACGAUCAAAAAUAUAUAUCAAGUUGAUUGUUUGAUAUAGAAACAUUAAUUACCUGGCAAUUUCCAUCACUUUUCAUCAUGAUUUCGGUGUAAUUUUCCCAUUCCAAUCUGAAAAUCCAGGAAGAAUAAGAAAUAACAUAUAUAGUCAGAGAUUAUCAGGCAAAAAAAUAAUUGGAACAAAGUUUACAAGAAGAAUCGAUCAAUACCUAUACUCAAGUAUUUCGCGAUCACUAAGACCGUCCAAACACAACGACUUGGUCUGAGUAUUAGACAUCUUUUAGAGUUGAGAUUGAUCGAUGGUUAUUGAUUCAGAACAGAGUCUCGAUCUCCUCUCUUAGAAAAGAUUAGGGCUGCUAGGUUUAACGUUUCUCAAAAAAAAAAAUCUUUCUCCAACAGUUAAUUGUGAAUUAUGAUGAUCCUAUCCUUUAAUAUACUAAAAGAACGAAAAAGAAAAAGCAAAAAAUUCCAUAAUUAAAAAAAUAAACGAAAUUUACAAUUAUCUUAAGGAAAAAUAAAUAGUUCAUUUCUUUAUGUUUAUACCGAUGGUAUUGUUUUAUUUGCGUAUGAUUUCAUUUUCACUUGUAUAUGUGCCACGUAGGCCUGGGCACGAAUCGAAUAUCCGGAAAAUUGGGGAUAUUUGUUAUUCGAUUCGUUUUAAUCGAAUACUUAAUUUUAUUAUUUGCUUUGAUCCGAAAAUUUUCGAAUAAAUGAGUACGAUAAAAAAUGACAUCAAGUAUUUGAUAUAUUGAGUAAAAGGAAUUAGAAAUAUUAAUUAGAUGGCAAUUUCCAUCACUUUUCAUCUUGAUUUCGGUGAAAUUGUGCAACUCCAAUCUGAAAAUCCGGAGAAAAAAAACAUAUUUAGUCAUGAUUAGAUUCAUAUGUAGGAAAAAUAUAUAUUUAUUUUCUUAAAUAUAUAGGACGACUCAUUUUCGAUUACUUUUAAUAUUAUUUUUUGUUAAGAUUACUUUUAGUCAUUUGGGCAACAUAUGCAUAAUCAAAUCUUGUAAGACCACUUUAGAGAUCUGGGCUUUGAGGAAGACAACAAUGAGAAAGCUUCUUUUUCUAAUGUCUAUGUCUUUGAAAUGUUACAAGGAGCAAUUAAAAUAGUGGGUAAAAAGUUUCAUUACAUCAGUGGGGCUGUGUGUUCAAUGUUAGCUACUCUGACACGGCUCAUGGUAGAUUUAUUGAAUAGUUGAAGAGAGCACACCAAUUCUUAUUGGACAUAUUUGACAGAAACAGUAAGUUACAAACACAUCAAAAGUAGUAGAGUAAACACACCAAUCCUUAUUGAAUGUUUUCAUUUAGUCGACAUGGCACUGGCUGGUUUUACUUAUAUAAUAAAAGGUUUUUCACUUGGUGUUGGUAAUGGGCACGACAGUGACUCCGAUGCUGUGAACAACAUCACUAGCUUGUCCGUGGAAUCCGACGAUCUUGUGGCCUUUCUCUCCAAGCGAGAACUUCUCACCCGAAUCCAUUCCGAAUGGAGUUGACUCCCUUUUGUUCGUCUUAAACUGAAGACAGAUAAUCAUUGGUGUCUCGACUCCGAAAAUCUUAUCGUAAUAGCCAUCUAUGGCCGUGAGAUAUUCACCAUCUUCAAGCACAAACUGCAAAGACUCAAAAGUAACAAGGAUAAGUGUAUAAUUUAAAAUAAAAUUAGCUGAAAAAAGAAAAAACAUAACUCUUGUUUAUGGAACUGACCUCUUCAGUUCCGAGUAAUGUCAUCUUCCCAUGGUCAUCUCCAGAUACAAGAUCUUUUCCUUUAUUGUAUUCAAACUUGACAAAGGCUACACCAUCGUUACCUUGUCCUACAAGUAUCUUCCUUACACCAUCGUAGACACCAUCAUCCCAUGCAACUCCUCCGCUGCCGCCUAUUGCUGGUAGUUUCUUGGCUGGAAUUAUAGGAGUCGGAGUAGGAAUAGGUGCAAAAUAUGCUCCAAGGGCAUCAAUAGCUGAACCUUCCUUUCCAUGGAACCCGACAAGCCUACGACCCUUUUGCUCUAGCUUAAACUUCUUACCUCCCUUAUACCCAGAGAAUGACGUUCUCCCCUUCGAUGUUUCAAAUGUAAGCGAUGUAAUGACGACAUUGCGGAAAAUGUCCGGUUUAUCAUAGGUUGCUUCCACCGAUUUGAUGUAUUCAUCCGGGUUAAGCUCAAACUGCAACAAAAUCAAAAUUUAAGAAUACUUCUGUCGCAAGAUAUCAAAAGUUAUAUUUAAGACCUAAAUUUUGGUUGUUCUACUAUAUCUCACAGUUUCUAGAAAUUUACCUUCAGUGAUCUUUCUUGUUUCACCCCAUGGCGACAUGUCUCUAACUUACCGCCUUUCUCGUACUCGAACUCUAAAUAAGUAAUACGAGAAUUAUCUUGACCAAUACGCAGCGAUUUAACGCCGUCGUAAGAACCAUCAUCCCAAACACGCCCGUCUGUACCACCUUGGGCAUCCAGCUUGUAAACAGGCGGAGACGUUGUUAGAGAGCCAUGUACAAAGUAAACUCCAAGCGCGUCGAGAGCAUUACCCGACCGUCCAUGAAACCCUACGAUCUUCUUUCCUCCAUCCUCAAUAACGAACUUUGUACCGGUCGUAAUUCCAAGCAAGUUUGGACCAAACAGUGGUGACUUUCUACCCUUUGAGGUCUUGAAGACGAGG
RNAcentral lists this long non-coding RNA (5886 nucleotides) under Arabidopsis thaliana (thale cress). RNAcentral's name for it is "long non-coding RNA (ATHA_LNC000026)". The record is from RNAcentral. Lineage: Eukaryota; Viridiplantae; Streptophyta; Magnoliopsida; Brassicales; Brassicaceae.